GUACGGGGAAGGAUGAGAAGCUUCGACUAAGGUUCGAUUCGAGCGCAGCGAGAAAGCGUUGCCGUAGGCAACGACCCGAAGGGCGAAGCGCGCAGCGCUGAGUCAUCCUUCCCCCACCACCA
RNAcentral lists this small RNA (122 nucleotides) under Salmonella enterica. RNAcentral's name for it is "partial RtT sRNA". It matches the Rfam family "RtT RNA". Rfam says of the family: This family represents a bacterial cis-regulatory element known as RtT RNA. The exact function of RtT is unknown although it is thought that it may be involved in changing the cellular response in relation to amino acid starvation. The record is from RNAcentral. Lineage: Bacteria; Pseudomonadati; Pseudomonadota; Gammaproteobacteria; Enterobacterales; Enterobacteriaceae.